Tachyglossus aculeatus (Australian echidna) is the source of this 120-nucleotide small nucleolar RNA. RefSeq annotates it as small nucleolar RNA SNORA32. The transcript has a single exon. The record is from RefSeq and is a predicted model, not a curated record. Lineage: Eukaryota; Metazoa; Chordata; Mammalia; Monotremata; Tachyglossidae.
UGGUCAUUACCAAGGCUAUCAGAAGUACAAUUUCUGAUUUGCUGUGGACAUGACCGUAGACUAAUUCUCAGCGGGUUUUAAAUCGCUAUUUUAUUAGCACAAACCUGUGGAGAAACAUGC